This 253-nucleotide ribosomal RNA is filed under the name uncultured bacterium. RNAcentral describes it as "partial 16S ribosomal RNA". It matches the Rfam family "Bacterial small subunit ribosomal RNA", at positions 524 to 776 of the family's 1533-position model. The record is from RNAcentral.
UACGUAGGUGGCAAGCGUUGUCCGGAUUUAUUGGGUUUAAAGGGUGCGUAGGCGGUUCUUUAAGUCAGUGCUGAAAUACUCCAGCUUGACUGGAGGGGUGGCAUUGAUACUGGGGAACUUGAGUGUAGUCGAGGUAGGCGGAAUUGACGGUGUAGCGGUGAAAUGCUUAGAUAUCGUCAAGAACACCGAUGGCGAAGGCAGGUCUCUGGGCCACUACUGACGCUGAGAAGCGAAAGCAUGGGGAGCGAACAGG